This 465-nucleotide ribosomal RNA is filed under the name Vreelandella stevensii. RNAcentral's name for it is "partial 16S ribosomal RNA". It matches the Rfam family "Bacterial small subunit ribosomal RNA", at positions 338 to 795 of the family's 1533-position model. Lineage: Bacteria; Pseudomonadati; Pseudomonadota; Gammaproteobacteria; Oceanospirillales; Halomonadaceae. The record is from RNAcentral.
CCUACGGGAGGCAGCAGUGGGGAAUAUUGGACAAUGGGGGGAACCCUGAUCCAGCCAUGCCGCGUGUGUGAAGAAGGCCCUCGGGUUGUAAAGCACUUUCAGUGAGGAAGAACGCCUGGUGGUUAAUACCCAUCAGGAAAGACAUCACUCACAGAAGAAGCACCGGCUAACUCCGUGCCAGCAGCCGCGGUAAUACGGAGGGUGCGAGCGUUAAUCGGAAUUACUUGGCGUAAAGCGCGCGUAGGUGGCUUGAUAAGCCGGUUGUGAAAGCCCCGGGCUCAACCUGGGAACGGCAUCCGGAACUGUCAAGCUAGAGUGCAGGAGAGGAAGGUAGAAUUCCCGGUGUAGCGGUGAAAUGCGUAGAGAUCGGGAGGAAUACCAGUGGCGAAGGCGGCCUUCUGGACUGACACUGACACUGAGGUGCGAAAGCGUGGGUAGCAAACAGGAUUAGAUACCCUAGUAGUC